AGUGCGGGUCUUUCUGGCCCAACCUGCCGCCCGUGACUAUUGUACCUUGUUGCUUCGGCGGGCCCGCCAGCGUUGCUGGCCGCCGGGGGGCGACUCGCCCCCGGGCCCGUGCCCGCCGGAGACCCCAACAUGAACCCUGUUCUGAAAGCUUGCAGUCUGAGUGUGAUUCUUUGCAAUCAGUUAAAACUUUCAACAAUGGAUCUCUUGGUUCCGGCAUCGAUGAAGAACGCAGCGAAAUGCGAUAACUAAUGUGAAUUGCAGAAUUCAGUGAAUCAUCGAGUCUUUGAACGCACAUUGCGCCCCCUGGUAUUCCGGGGGGCAUGCCUGUCCGAGCGUCAUUGCUGCCCUCAAGCCCGGCUUGUGUGUUGGGCCCUGGUCCCCCGGCUCCCGGGGGACGGGCCCGAAAGGCAGCGGCGGCACCGCGUCCGGUCCUCGAGCGUAUGGGGCUUCGUCUUCGGCUCCGUAGGCCCGGCCGGCGCCCUCCGACGCAUUUAUUUGCAACUUGUUUUUUUCCAGGUUGACCUCGGAUCAGGUAGGGAUACCCGCUGAACUUAAGCAUAUCAAUAAGGCGGAGG
RNAcentral lists this ribosomal RNA (575 nucleotides) under Aspergillus terreus. RNAcentral describes it as "eukaryotic LSU rRNA". The stretch from base 185 to 338 matches the Rfam family "5.8S ribosomal RNA". Lineage: Eukaryota; Fungi; Ascomycota; Eurotiomycetes; Eurotiales; Aspergillaceae. The record is from RNAcentral.